AUCUAAAAUGUAACAAAUCAAUGAGAAUUAGAGAAAGACAGUGCAAGAAUCUUAAAAUCUAGUGAGCAGCAUGUUGUGCACCAUAGGCGCGUUCCGAGAGCCAUAACGUACCGAAGGGCUGGACCCUGGACGAAGGGGGUGGUGAGGGGGAAAGAAACAAGGGAAAGCUCUGAUUGUGGAGAAGCAUGUGUCCGCUGUGGCUCUAUUAAUGAGAAGUAGCGUCACAAGAGUUCAGCUUCAUAAGGAAGUUUAACACUUACCGCUCAACAUCCCGUUCAUUCACGAACAUCACGGUCUGUUCCUCAUCCUUGGUCUGAUGCUGUAUCCUGCAGGCUGGGGAUCUAGGAAGGUGGUUGACUACUGCGGUCAGGAUGCUUCCCCAUAUAAAGUUGGCCUGUGUUCUUUGGGCUGGGCCUUUUACACUGCCAUAGGAGGCACCGUGCUCACGUUCAUCUGUGCUAUGUUUUCAGCCCAGGCUGAGAUUGCCACCUCCAGUGAUAAGUGGGACUCUGGAACUGCCAGUCAGCUGUGAACAAAGCUGACUUCAUUCCAGCCUUUGCCACACAGUCCACCCUCAGCAUCCUGGCACUGACAGAAACAUGGAUACAUCCAGAGAAUACAACAACACCUGCUGCUCUCUAACAACUUCUCUCACACCCCUUGACACACCAGUACGGGUGGGGGAACAGAUCAACUGGCAAACUUUCUUGAGGAGUUGGAUGUCCUGCUGUCCUCCUUCCUGGAGGAUGGUAAGCCACUUGUGAUUUCAACAUACACCAAGACAAGCCCCAGGCCACUGAACUGAAUGCUCUUCUGGCUUCAUUUGACUUGGAAAGACUAAGCACCACAGCAACUCACGUUCGGGGAACCAGCUGGAACUCAUUUUUACACGUAACUGUACCAACUCAAAUAUUCUUGUUCAUAUUCAUGUCUCUGAUCACUACUUUGUUCAAUUCAACAUGACUCUCCCAUCUGUAUUAAAACAGACUCCACCUUUGGUUUCCUUUCGCCGUAACCUCCAUUCUCUUUCACCCUCACGCCUUUCCACUGCUGUCUCUACCUCUCUUCCCACACAAAAUGUAUUUUCCACCCUUGAUAUAAACACUGCCACAGACACACUAAGCUCUACUUUAACAACCUGUCUAGACAACAUCUGUCCUAUCUCCUCAAGACCAGCACGUACUACACCACCCAGCCCCUGGCUCUCUGACGUCCUUCUUAAACAUCGGACUGACCUCAGGGCAGCUGAGAGGAGAUGGUGGAAAUCUAAAGAUCCAGCAGUUCUAGAACAAGCUGCUGGAUUACAAUCAGUCAGGUUUCAAAAGUGGACACUCCACCGAGACUGCCCUGCUGUCUGUCACUGAGUUGCUGAGACAGGUGAAAGCUGAAACCAGAUCAUCCGUCCUGAUUUUACUGGACCUUUCUGCAGCCUUCGAAACUCAACCAUCAGAUCUUACUCUCCACCCUCUCUUCACUGGGCAUCACAGGAACUGUGCUUGACUGGUUUAAUUCCUAUCUCUCAGGUAGGUCCUUCAAAGUAGCCUGGAGAGGUGAGGUGUCCAAGCCACAUCAGCUACUUACUGGGGUACCUCAGGGUUCAGUGGUUGGGCCACUUCUCUUCUCUAUAUACACAACAUCACUGGGACCCAUCAUUCAGGACCAUGGUUUCUCUUACCAUUGCUACGCUGAUGACACGCAACUCUACUUGUCUUUCCAGCCCAACGAAACCACAGUGACUGCUCAAAUCUCUGCCUGCCUGGCAGACAUCUCGGCCUGGAUAAAGGAACACCACCUGCAACUUAACCCAGCCAAGACCGAACUCCUUAUCUUUCCAGCCAACCCUGCUGUUGAACACAACAUCACCGUGCAGCUGGGUGCAACUACAGUAACGCCUUCCAAAACGGUCAGAAAUCUAGGGGUAACCAUCGAUAACAAACGAAAUUUCACAGACCAUAUCUCAAAGACUGCAAGAUCAUGUAGAUUUACACUCUACAAUAUCAGGAAGAUAAGACCCUUCCUCUCUAAACAUGCCACACAACUCUUGUUCAGUCACUUAUCAUAACUAGACUGGACUACUGUAACGCUCUCAUUGCAGGCCUCCCUGCAUGUGCAAUUAGACCCCUGCAAAUGAUCCAGAAUGCAGAAGCACGUCUGGUCUUUAAUCAACCAAAGAGAACACAUGUUACACCACUCUUUGUCUCUCUUCACUGGCUGCCGGUUGAUGCACGUAUCAAGUUCAAGGCUCUGAUGCUGGCAUACAAAACAGUCACUGGGUCUGCUCCAGCAUACCUAAAAUAAUUUCUGCAAAGCUACGUGCCCACUAGAAGCCUCUUUGUGUUGUACCAACACAAAGAGGCACCAAAACAGUUUCCUGGACUUUCGGCUUCAUCAUACCACAUUGGUUGAAUGACAUUCCCAACUCCAUCUGUGAAGCUGACUCACUUUCUGUCUUCAGAAAAUGGCUAAAAACACAUCUUUUCCAUGAGCACUCAACCAGUUAAAAAAAAAAAAAAAAUUCCUUGUUUCACUUUAAUCUGUUUUGAAUGCUAUUCUGAUGCUAGUGAAACUUUGUAAUAUGGCACUUUUCAUACCACUGUCUUCUUAAGAUGAUUCGCUAAUGUUUUCCUCUUUUGUAAGUCACUUUGGAUAAAAGUGUCUGCCAAAUGAAUAAAUGUAAAUAAGAGGCAAAACAGGAAAAUAAUGGAAACAGGAAGUUAUUGAUCUCAGGAAAUGGGACUCGAUUGGUUCUUUCCCUUAUCUCCACUACCAGAACACAUGUUUGAAAAGAGCAUAAAUUGUUUCAAAUGCACACUUUGUAUAUGUAGCAAACUAUGCUUAAAGGUUGUUAAUGGGAAGUUUACAAAAACACAGCAAAUUCAAUGAUAUUAUAAAAGGACCUAGAAAAGUCAUUGAUUCUUGUAAGAUUUAUCAGAUGAGUUGGUGUGGGGAAAGUACACACUGCAGUGAGGGCUGGACUCCUGAUGUUUGUUCUAUAAUGACUGCAUGUGGCAGGUGUGCUGAGGGGAGGGUUCUCAUCCAGUUCUGUGUUAGCGGAUGAAAGCAGAUCUCAGAGUCUCUCUGUCAGUUACUAUCCUUAGGUCCUUCUGGUCCUCCCCUGCUGAUCAGAAAUGCAAGACAGGCCUCUUCAUCUUGUAUGAGCAUGCGAUCAAUUUAUAAUUAGGUCUGUAGUGAUUAAUGAAUUCCCAAUAAAGCACCCUCUGCUCUGAUGAAUGUAUGCAGGCCAUCCCACCUAAACUGCUGUCCAAACAAGCAUGGCUCACUGUUUCAUCUCAUUAGAGCUGAAUGUUCUGGAAAAUGGGGGCUGAGGUCUGAUUAUUUAGGGUCAAGAGUUACUUUUGCUAUCUAUUGGUGGAACGUUUGUGUUUCUGAAGUAAUAAAUUAUGAAUGUUUGUUUGUCCUUUUACAUUAACAAGUUUAUGGUACAUUUUUGGGAUAAAAAAUGGUGGAGACUAUGGCUAGUUGUCAGGCACGGAAGUUUAUGUCAGUAACUAUAAGAUUUUGAUUUAAAAAGUCAAAUUAUAUAAAUGUGUUUUCUCUGGCAGUGGUUUUGUCCGAGUUUCAGACACCAGUCUUAAAUUAAAAUAUUUUGUUAUAAAUUCUAUUCUCCAAACUAAAAUUCACAUUUUGUCAUACAUUAUGGCAAGGGUCAACUACAGUGGCAAGAAAAAGGAUGUGAACCCUUUGGAAUUACAUCCCUUUAUGUAUACAUUUGUCUUAAAAUCUGGUUUGAUCUUCAUCUAAAUUACAACAAUGAACAAACACAAUCUGUUUAAUAACACACAAAUUAUUGUGUUGUUCUUGUACACCCUGAAUACAUCAUUCAAACAUUCACAGUGUAGGUUGUAAAAAGUCUGUGAACCUCUAGGCUAAUGACGUCAACAAAAGCUAAUUAGAGUCAGGAGUUAGCAAACCUGGCAUCCAAUUAAUGAAAUGAGAUUGGAGGUGUGGGUUAGAGCUACUUUGACUUAUAAAAAGCACUCAGACAUUUUGAGUAUGAUAUUCACAAGACGCACCUGCUGACACACGGACCAUGCCUCGCAAGAAAGAGAUCUCAAAAGAACUAUGAUCAAGAAUUGUUGUUUUGCAUAAAGCUGAAAAGGGUUACAAAGUUAUCUCAAAGAGCUUAGAUAUUCAUCUGUCCCAAAUUGUCUAUAAAUAGUGACAAUUUAGUACUGUGGCUACUCUCCCUAGAAGUGGCCACCCAGCCAAAUUACUCAAAGGGCACACCGCAGAAUGCUCAAUGAGGUAAAAAAAAGAACCCUAGAGUGACAGCUAAGGACUUGAAGGAAUCAUUGGAACUGGUUAACAUCUAUGUUCAUGAGUCUACUAUAAAGAAAACAUUAAACAGGCAUGGUGUCCAUGGCAGGUCACCACGAAGGAAGCCCCUGCUUUCCAAAAAAAAAUUAUAAAUUGCUGCAUGCCUGAAGUUUGCCAAAGACCACCUUGACACUCCACAAUGCUACUGUGAAAAUGUUUUAUGGGCUGAUGAAACUAAGGUUGAAUUGCUUGGGAAGAACAUGCAGCACUACGCAUCGUGUAAAAAGGGCACUGCAAACCAACCUGAAAACAUAAUCCCAACAGUGAAGUAUGGUGGAGGGAGCAUCAUGAUUUGGGGCUGCUUUGCUGCCAAAUUGUUAUAUCUUUCACAUGUGUUUUAUUCCACUUAAUAGACAUGAUCUGUGCAUCUCUUAUUAUAUACAAUGAGUAAAUUAGUAAAUAAACUAAAAUGAAACUUAAAAACAUAAAAAUUAACCAUAAGAAACUAUUUGCUUCAAUCAAUGGGGUAUCCUGGCAUAGGCGAUACAGGCAGUCGCACAGAGAGGGGUGCUCCCACUGUUGACACAUGCAUCAUAUUCGGGACAGUUUAGCUCCCCGUUCUGCUUACCCCUCUCAUUUUAAAUUAAUUGUGAUCUUGUGAAUAACUUUUCUGAGCUGCUCGAUGUGCUGCUUUAUUUAGCCAUGCAAUCUCACUCCGACUGCUCUCUGUUUGCAUCACAAAAAUAGGAUAAAUGGUCUGCCCAUGGAAAAAGUGUCUUUAUCUGCUGAAAGACGAAAAUGAUUAUAAUAAGGGAUUAUGAUGGUGCCAUACAGUACAUGUCAAGUUAAUCAAAUCCUAAAAUGAAAUGCACCCAGUGCCUAAUAUACAUCCACUGCUGUACAUCUGAAAUAUUACUUGGCUUAUUGGAGAAUGCUCCUUCGGGAUUUGAACUUCAGACUUUUCUCAUCCAUUGGUGAUAUUCACACAGAGUACCAACAGGCAGUCAUGUGUUAACAGUAAUACUGUUUCGUAUUAUAUACUUUGAAGGCAUUAUAUACAGUCAGAGGAGGCAAGGACGGCUGAGCCUCCUCAAAAAAUGAUUCAAAAUGGCUGUUGCAAGGAAGGAGGUCACAGGAGCAGGAUCUAAACGCAGCUUCUUUAAUAACAAUAAAACAGAACACAAGGUAGGAUAAACGCGGAGCCUCGAGGGGCGAAGCCGUGGAAGGCAGAACUGUGGUAGGCUUGAGACUUAGAGUCCAGGAUGACUGGGAAAUGACCUCAGUGGUCACGAACAUGAGCAGAGUCUCGGGAGCGACCUCUGUGGUUGCGGGCAUAGACAGAUACUCGGGAAUGACCUCUGUGGUCGUGGGCAUAGGCAGAGACUCAGAGACGACAUCUGUGGUCGUGUACAUGGGCAGAGACUCAGAUACGACCUCUGUGGUCGUGAACAUGGGCAGAGACUUGGAAAUGACCUCCGUGGUCGUGUACAUGGGCAGAGACUUGCCGAAGUUGGCAACGCAGGCUCUGGUACGGACGAGGCUGGCAAUGCUGGCUCUGGGACAGAUGAGAUUGACAACGUUGGCUCUGGGAUGGACAAAGCUUCCAGUUCGUUGGCCGUGGCAGGCGUGGGCGUUGGCUCAUUGGCCGUGGCAGGCGUGGGCGUUGGCUCGUUGGUCGUGGCUGGCAGAAGUACUGACAAGCUGUGAGGAAAGGUCUUCAUUACCCUAGGCACCGACUUCAGUGGCGGAUAAUUCAACUUGGAAACAAGGGUUGAGAAGGGCUUCGAACCGGGAGUCACGGAAAGCAAGGCUAAGACAUGGUGUGGAACCGACUCAGACGUGGUUGUAACAUGGCGUGGAACAGACUCAGACUUGACUGGGACAUGGCGUGGAGCAGACUCAAAUUUAACUGUCAUAUGACGUGGAGCCGACUGUGAUGUGGCUAUGACAUGGUGUGGAGCAGGCUCAGGCACGGCUGUGAUGUGGCAUGGAGCAGACUCAGACUUGAAUGUGACAUGGAGCAGGCUGAGGCAUUGCUGUGACAUGGCACGGAGCAGGCUGAGGCAUUGCUGUGACAUGGCAUGGAGCAGACUGAGGCAUGGCUGUGACAUGGCAUGGAGCAGGCUGUGGCAUGGCUGUGACAUGGCAUGGAGCAGGCUGAGGCGUGGCUGUGACAUGGCAUGGAGCAGGCUGAGGCGUGGCUGUGACGUGGCGUGGAGCAGACUCAGGCGUGGCUGUGACAUGGCGUGGAGCAAGCUCAGGCACGGCUGAGAUGUGGCAUGGAGCAGAUUCAGGCGUGGCUGACUCGGAAGCCGGGAUCGGGAUUGAUUGAGGAGGAUCCGCUGAAGUGAAUGUCUCUAAUACCAGCGUAACAUAUUCCUCCCACGUGUAAUCUCCGGUCGCCGGCAACUCCCUCCACUGUGCAUUCUGGGAUCGUCUGCCUGGGGAAGGACACAUACGAUGAUGGCUGCAUCCGAAAACUGGAAAAUGCUGCCUUCCAAGGCUGUAUCCGGAGAUUAUCGCCAAGUUCAAGAGGAUCAUCACCACAGACCUUUUGCAGUCUUUUCUUGAUGAACUUGAUGGCCUGGACCCAAGAUUGCUGGAGGAGUGCAAAGCAGCAGUAGUGUCUGGGAGAAGGCCGGCACUCAAAUGCAUUUUGAAGUUACGUUUUCAUUAGAGGUGUCAAUAUAUUAUAAAUAUAACUGAGAAAAUGUAAUUAAGGAAUAUCAUACUCAAAAUCAGGUUAUCGUUCUAUAUAUCAGUAUGUUCAAGCUUGAAAUCAUGAUUGUGCCUGUAGACUGCAAUGGCAAAAUGUUCAGUGAAAAAGGAGUUACAUUUUGGUCUGUUCUCUCCCAAAACUGAUUGGAUCACUUCAGAAGUAGUUUUAUCUUGGCACCCAUUCACUUACAUAGAGCUGUUCAGCCAUGACGUCAAUUUGUAGGCGAACCCGGAAGUCUAAUUCGCCAUGGGUUUCCUCUGGAUUUUCCUAUGGGUUUUCUUAAUGGGGUUUUUGAACUUAUGAGUAAAAUAAGGUCUGUGGUACACAUUACU
RNA transcript from Myxocyprinus asiaticus (Chinese sucker), 7329 nucleotides. It is a transcript of the gene named LHFPL tetraspan subfamily member 2 protein-like, with no coding region annotated. Lineage: Eukaryota; Metazoa; Chordata; Actinopteri; Cypriniformes; Catostomidae. The record is from RefSeq and is a predicted model, not a curated record. The transcript has 8 exons.